Molecule: ribosomal RNA, 253 nt
Filed under: uncultured bacterium
Lineage: Bacteria
Description: partial 16S ribosomal RNA
Rfam family: Bacterial small subunit ribosomal RNA
Source: RNAcentral
UACGUAGGCAGCGAGCGUUGUUCGGAGUUACUGGGCGUAAAGAGUGCGUAGGCGGUUUUCUAAGUUUGGUGUGAAAUCUCCCGGCUCAACUGGGAGGGUGCGCCGAAGACUGGAAGGCUUGAGUAUGGGAGAGGUAAGCGGAAUUCCUGGUGUAGUGGUGAAAUGCGUAGAUAUCAGGAGGAACACCUGCGGUGUAGACGGCUUACUGGACCAUAACUGACGCUGAGGCACGAAAGCGUGGGUAGCAAACAGG